RNAcentral lists this long non-coding RNA (819 nucleotides) under Mus spicilegus (steppe mouse). RNAcentral describes it as "lncRNA (ENSMSIG00000028018.1)". The record is from RNAcentral. Lineage: Eukaryota; Metazoa; Chordata; Mammalia; Rodentia; Muridae.
GAAUCUGGGAUACAUUCAAGAGUCCAAGCCUGCUGCUCUCUAGGAAUGCAGACUGAACAAUAAGAUGUAAAGUUUGCUGGAACAGCGCCCACAGACCCAGGCUCACACCACUGUGAUCAUCAGGGUCCUUCAUAUUGGAACAACAAUAAAGAGAGCAAAGACCAGGACCAGAAGAAAAGCAAGACCUUGAACAGUAAAGAAUGUGAGAUGCAGAAUCUAAGCACAGUAGAUUAAUUCUUCAGACUCCUUGGCUGUCCCUCCUCAAAAAGACUGCAAGGACCAAGACGGCCGGUAUUCAGGGAACCUCCUUAUGUCAUUUACAAAGAGUUCUAUUGUUCUAGUCUAUUUGGGGCCCCAGUAAAGCACACUGAGGCUGGGGGCACAUCCAGUACUUUGCUCAUGCUCACACUGAUAGAGGAUGCUGGAGAUGCACAGAAAUGGAGAAGACAAUGGAUACUGAGGUAAGGAGGCUGGGGAAACAGAGGGUGGGGGCUAAAGACCACAAAGAUGCACACUGAUAGGAGGAACAGACUUUAAGGGUUAAUUGCAUCAUAGGCAAAACAGCAUCAGAACAGAUUAAAUGCAUUAUCCCUGAUAUUACAUAAAUAUUAUAUAGUCAACAGUGUUAUAUAAGUCAAAGUAGCCAGAUAAAUACUUUAAAUGCCUUCACUACAAAGAAAUGUUUUAGAACAUGGAUAAUCGAGAUAUUCUGAGUCAACCAUUAUAAUUUGGUAAUGUAUACUUAUAUUAAAAUAGUAUGCUAUGUUCCAGAAGUAUAUACAAUUAUCAUCUGUCAAUCAAGAAAUGAACUAAUUUAAA